Molecule: transfer RNA, 74 nt
Filed under: Capra hircus (goat)
Lineage: Eukaryota; Metazoa; Chordata; Mammalia; Artiodactyla; Bovidae
Also listed under: 1 other name
Rfam family: tRNA
About the family: Transfer RNA (tRNA) molecules are approximately 80 nucleotides in length. Their secondary structure includes four short double-helical elements and three loops (D, anti-codon, and T loops).
Source: Rfam by way of RNAcentral
UCCUUGGUGGGCCAGUGGCUAAGACUCUGCACUCCCAAUGCAGGGGGGCCCAGGUUCAAUCCCUGGUCAGGGAG